CCUUGGGCCAAACCGUCACCCCUGGGCCACAGGCAGCCACGGACCUCGCCUUUCCCACUUGGUUAGAGUCGGCUCUGCCGGGAGAAAGCGAUUCCAGAAUUCCCUAAGUUAAAGGAAUUUCUUACUCCUUCUUGAGCGCCAUCCAAGGGCCAGGCCUUAGUCUAGGAACUGGCAACACCGUGGCGACCACGUCAGACAAGAUCGCUGCCCUCAUUGAGUUCCCAGGUUGGCAGGGGAAACAAAAAUGUAAUAAAUAACUGCACUUUGCAAGAAGAGCUAUGAAGAAAAAACAGGGUGAUGGGAGAGAGAAUGCUUGGAUGUUGAAGGGAGGCCUUUCUGAGAUGGCGACAUCUUGAGCUGAAUAAAGAAGGAUGAGAAAGGAUGGGGCUUGCAAAGUUCUGGCUUCAAAGAAUUCCAGGCAGAGGGAACAAGAGUGAAGUCUCCAGGGGAAGCCAGCUUAGUGUUUGGAGACUAGAAAGAAGGGGUGUGCGGCUGGAAGAUGCUGGAGGUAGAGGACGGAAACUCAAAAGAUGAUUGAAGAUUAAAAAACAAGAUGAUUGAGGCUGGACUUCUCAAAACCUUGGUGAGUGGGAAGCCACAACCGCCUGCAGGGCCAACCUGGUCUUGUAAAUGAUUAAAGCGGCAGGUGUGAUGCAUUAGGGAAUGGUGGGGCCCGUGGCAGGACUGCUUUAAAGGGGGUGGCCAUUACUGAAAUGUGCCCUUGGGGCCAUGCAGAAACAAUGGCCCAGGGCUCCAGAAGAUCCAGGUUUUUUAAGAUUUUGAUUUUUAUAGCCCAUGUUGCAGAAAAUAAAACAUAUCUGUAGGUGUGCUGCAGCCCAGGGUGAUGGCAAUAUCUGCUCUCCUCUCACUCCUGGGUGAUCUGCACCAGGAUGGGCAGCAGGCCAGUGACCUUCAGAGGCCCAGGCCUUUGAAGGAUGAGGGUGCUUAGCCCUGUGUGAACCCACUCUCCCCUGCACCUUGAACCAGGGCUUUCUGAGACUGCUCUCCUGCCUGCAUGCCCCCAUCUCCUAACAAACAGGAGCUCCAUCUCAGACUCAAAUGAUCCUCUGCCAGGUGUUUCCGUUGCUUUGUCCAAAGGCCUACACAUGCGCCAAAGUUCAGGGUUAUCUCCCCUCCACCUUUCCCUUUGUCUCCAGCCACCUUUCUGCUGACUGAUUUUGUUGUUGUUUCUUUUUAUAAUUCCAUUUGGGCUAUCAUGCGGCCCGAUCUUCCAUCUCAUUCCACAUCCAGCUGCAGCCUGAGCUUGAGCGUUUGUGAGCUUUGCAGCCAGAUAUGAACAGAAGACAGAUUCAUUUCCUGCUGCCUGCUUCUCCAACCCCAAAUCUCCCAGUUUGAUCCGAGAGCCCUGAAGAUUUGCCUUCACCCGGCGCCCCCCAGAUGCUUCUUUUUAAGCCUUGCUUGUAAAUAGGUGUCAGUAAGGGUCUCACCAUGCAGGAUGUGGGCGUGUGGGUGCUCCAGAUCCCCACACCGGCUGUCACCAUCCCCCUGCUGUUGCCAGUGCAUCCCUUGAGGAUGCCUGGCAGGUUACACCCCACCCCGGGGGCAAAUGGUGACUGACAACAGAACAAGUGCUCACCUGCUUGCCCCACAGCAGGACAGUUCAGUGGGAGGAAUUUGUUCUAGAGCACCCUGGAUCAGGCCAAGGCUUUCCCCUUCCAUAUUCGGCUUCUUUUGCUCCUCUAAUAAGUCACGCAUGUGGAGCCCUAAGGAGCUAAAAGAAAAUUGGAAAUGAGCUUAGCUGGCAAGAACAGACACAGGGGUAGAGGGGAGUGAAUGUUCUGAGAAAUAGGGUCAACAGCAAACAGCUCACUAGCACCCAAACAUCCUGUUGCAAGCAUUCAGCUCACAGCCCACCUGCACCCAAGCUUCCUGUCUGCAAGCCUUCAGCCCAGACAGCACAACUUUAUAAAGUCCCCUGCAGCCCCUGCCUUUUUGCAGACAGCAUUCCCUCUGCUAUGUUGCUCGUUGCUCCCUUGGAACAUAUGUCCCGCUUUUCUCUAAUAAAUCUACCUUUCUUUCCCAACAAUUGUCUUGGUAAAUUCCUUCACCACCUGUGACACUGACCCCAGGGGGUCAGUUUUUUAUUUGUUUGUUUGUUUGUUUUGAGACAGAGUCUCACUCUGUCGCCCAGGCUGGAAUUCAGUGGUGCCCUCUCGGCUCACUGCAAGCUCUGCCUCCCAGGUUCAAGUGAUUCCUGCCUCAGCCUCCUGAGUAGCUGGUAUUACAGGCAUCCACCACCACGCCCGGCUAGUUUUUGUAUUUUUAGUAGAGAUGGGGUUUUACCAUGUUGGCCAGGAUGGUCUCAAACUCCUGACCUCAAGUGAUCUGCCCGCCUCGGCCUCCCAAAGCGCUGGGAUUACAGGCGUGAACCACCGAGCCCAGCCAGCCCCCAGGCAGUCGUUGACCAUGAUAACGUGCACCUGAAUCCCUGUCUCCAGCUCUGCAUCUGAGAAACUCGGACAUAAGACAGCUCCUUACAACACUACAGUGGGAGAGGGGGUGUCUGUGGGCAGAAAAGGGGCAGCGGUGGGCUAAGUGGAGACCAAGGCAAAACACUCCCAUGCUUCCAUUACCAAAGGCAAGGCAUGUAAAUCCUACAUGUCAUAGUGAAAAAUUAAACAAUCUCAACCCUCCAACAACAAGGAACAGACUCAAUAUAUCAUAAAACAUGCUUAUGAUACAUAUUAUGCCAUCAUUAAUGGUGCUGUAUGAAGUAUUAAAAAAGUUGAUAUUUAUUGAAGCUCAAGAAAUGGGUACAUGGGGGUUCAUUUUACUAUUCUCUCUACCUUUGUAUAUGUUCGAAAUUUUCCGUAAUAAAAUGUAUGUUAAAAAUGGAUGGAGAAAUUGCUGUAGUAUAUUGAGUGGUAUUUAGAAAGAACUCACACUGUAUAGUUAGGUGAAAAACUGGCUAAUAUAUAACAUAGUAAGUCUAUAUGUAUGUGGAUUUUUUUAAAUAUUAAGAAAUUGAGAGGCCAGAUGUGGUGGCUCACGCCUGUAAUCCCAGCACUUUGGGAGGCCAAGGUGGGCGGAUCAUGAGGUCAGGAGUUCGAGACCAACCUGGCCAACAUGGUGAAACCCUGUCUCUACUAAAAAUCAAAAAAAAAAUUAGCCAGACAUGGUAGUAAGGCCUGUAAUCCCAGCUACUCAGGAGGCUGAGGCAGGGGAAUCGCUUGAACCCAGGAGGUGGAGGUUGCAGUGAGCCGAGAUCACGCCACUGCACUCCAGCCUGGGUGACAGAGUGGGACUCCGUCUCAAAAAAAGAAAAAAAAAGGAAGAAAGAAUUUGAAAGCUGGGUGCUGUAGCUCACACCUGUAAUCCCAGCAACCGGGGAGGCUGAAUGGGAGGAUGGCUUGAGCCCAGGAGUUCAAGGCUUCAGUGAGCCAUGAUUACACCACUGUGCCCCAGCCUGGGUAACAGAACAAGACCCCAAAGCUUAAAAAAAAAGAAAAGAAAAGAAAUGGAAAUGUACUUUCCCAUUGACCCAGCAAUUCCACUAUAGAGAAAUCCACACGGGAAAGGACAUAGGUACAGCCUAAAUGUCCGUUAAUAGGAAAAUGGCUUUUAAAACUGUACCAUAUUAAGCUGGGCUCAGUGGUGCAUGCCUGUAGUCGCAGCUACUUAAGAGGCUGGCUCAUGCCUGUAAUCCCAGCACUUUGGGAGGCCAAGAUGGGAGGAUCACUUGAGGCCAGGAGUUUGAGACCAGCCUGGGCAACACAGUGAGAACCCUGUCCCUACAAAAAAUAAAAUAAAAAAAAAUAGCCAGAUGUGGUGGCCAUUGCCUGUAGUCCCAGCUGCUUGGGUAGCUGAGGUGGGAGGAUCACUUGAGGCCAGGAGUUGCAGGCUGCAGCGAGCUAUGAUAGUGCCAUUGCACUCCAGCCUGGGGGACACAGCAAGACCUUGUCUAUAAAAAAGAAAGAAAGAAAGAAAGAAAAUAAAGAAAAACAAGGGCCGGGUGUGGUGGCUCACACCUGUAAUCCCAGCACUUUGGGAGGCUGAGGCAGGUGGACUGCUUGAGGUCAGGAGUUCGAGACCAGCCUGGCCAACAUGGUGAAACCCCGUCUCUAUUAAAAAUACAAAAAUUAGCCGAGUGUGGUGGUGUGUGCCUAUAGUCCCAGCUACUCAGGAGGCUGAGGCAGAAGAAUCACAGGAGAAUCGCCUGAAUCUGGGAGGUGGAGGUUGCAGUGAGCCGAGAUUGUGCCACUGUACUCCAGCCUGGGUGACAGAGCGAGACUCUGUCGCAAAAAAAAAAAAAAAAAAGAAAAGAAAAGAAAAGAAAAAAGAAAGAAAAGAAAAGUGUCUAUAUUUCUAUGUAUGUAAAGAAUAGUCCAGAGUGCUAUUUAUUACCCUGAUGAAGUGGCCAUCUGAUCUGAGAGGUGACAAGGGUUGAAGGGAAAGGACCAGGAGUGGGGCUGGCUGACUACUGAGACUUAAGACUUAUCUGUUAUAUUUUAAUUUUUUACAAGAAGAAUAUAUUUGUCUAUCAUGCAUAAUUAAAAAUUAAUAAUGCCCAAGACUACAUGUAUAUACACUAAAGUGUUCACAAGGAUCCUCUCUGGGUGAUGAGAGUUUCUUAGUUCUUUUCUAUAAUUUAUGAAUUUUCUACUGCAAGCAUAUAUGACUUCAGCAAUCAAGGUUGGGGGAGGGAGGAAGGGAGAAGAAAGAAAAAAGAAACUAAAGUAUCAUUAUUGUGCCAAGAUACGCCCCCACUUUCACCUCCGGGGUGCAUCCAGUUCAUUCUGCCUACUCAAGGCCUCCCCAUGCAAGGUUUCCUGAUCCCCAGCCCCUCCCUCCAAAAAGAGGCUGCUCUUUCCUCAGUGCUCUCUGAGCCUUGGAUAAGACCCCCCAUAGCAGACACAAACCCCACAGGCCCACACUGGAUGGAUGUGUAGGUUUCCAUACCCAGGGCAGGCCCUCCCUGCUGGCCUCUGACCUCCUGGCAGCAUCCCCUGACCCCACUCUCCACCCUGAGCCUGGCCCCUGGGCAUCAAUUAUAGUUGGUGAAAUUUACAUUAUUCAGAGACCUUCAACAGAGAAGAGGAGUCCUUCACAUGUGCCUUUCCCUCCCCACUUGGGGCUCCUUGUGCAUCCCAGGGGUCUUCUUACCAUUUCUCCCACCCCAGUACUCCCAAGGGUACAUUGCCACCCCAGCUUCUUGCUCACCUGUUCUUUCUCACUAAGCACCUAUUGUGUGCCAGAUAUUGUUCUGGGCACUGAGAUACAGCAAAUAAGUGAGCGGCCCACAGUGACAUGCUCAGUAAAUGGCAGAGACAGGACUUGACCCUAGGCCUUCAGAUGCCAUGUCCGACACUGAAUCCAGAACCUCAUACCCCAGAACCAUUGAGAGUGAAAUUCUUGUUUUUAUUAGAGCCACAGCAGCAAUCACAAUUCAUUUCUUGGCACUCAUCUGCCAGUGUGGUUAUUCUGAAGUUCAGGGCGAUUACUUCACAAUUGCCUUUGCUGUUCUUAUUCCUUCCUUGACUGAAUAAAUCUUUAAGGUAAUAAGAAGGGAAAAUACAGUCAGAUCUCCUCUGGGCCUAUAAAACCAAGAUGUGAGAUCAUUAUAUUGCUUCAUGUGCUAAGUCAAAAAGAUAGAAUAUUUUAAUGCAUCAUUAUAAAGCAUCUUUUCCUAUAACGACAUAAUAUAUGUCAACUUAUAAUUGCUUUCCUUCAAAUACUGCUCCUAUUUCCAAAGAGGGAGAUCUUUAAUUUGCAAGUUUGCCUUGUCUGACUUUUUUGUUUUGUUUUUGUUUUUUGUUUUUUGGAGAAAGGGUCUUGCCCUGUUGCUCAGGCUGGAGUACAGUGGCAUAAUCACGGUUCAAUGCAGCCUCGACCUCCUAGGCUUAAGCAAUCCUCCUGCCUUGGUCUCCUUAGUAGGUGAGACCACAAGCACAUGCCACCACGCCUGGCUAAUUUUUUAUAUUUUUAUUUUGUAGAGACGAGGUCUUGCUACAUCCCCCAGGCUGGUUUCAAACUCCUGGGCUCAAGCAAUCUUCCCAUCUCAGCUUCCCAAAGUGCUGGGAUUACGGGUGUGAGCCACCGUGUCCAGAGUGUGACUUAUUUCUUAAGUAUACACCCUGCCACUUAGGUAUUUAUUUAUUUAUAU
This 6124-nucleotide long non-coding RNA is filed under the name Homo sapiens (human). RNAcentral describes it as "HSALNT0231744". The record is from RNAcentral. Lineage: Eukaryota; Metazoa; Chordata; Mammalia; Primates; Hominidae.